CCUACGGGAUGCAGCAGUGAGGAAUAUUGGGCAAUGGACGAGAGUCUGAACCAGCCAAGUAGCGUGAAGGAUGACUGCCCUAUGGGUUGUAAACUUCUUUUAUAAAGGAAUACAACGACGCACGUGUGCAUUUUUGCAUGUACGUUAUGAGUAAGGAUCGGCUAACUCAGUGCCAGCAGCCGCGGUAAUACGGUGGAUCCGAGCGUUAUCUGGAUUUAUAGUGUUUAAAGGGAGCGUAGAGGGGUUGUUAAGUCAGUGGUGAAAGUUUGCGGCUCAACCGUAAAAUUGCAAUUGAUACUGGCAGUCUUGAGUACAGUUGAGGUAGGCGGAAUGCGUGGUGUAGCGGUGAAAUGCUUAGAUAUCACGAAGAACCCCGAUGGCGAAGGCAGCUUACUAAACUGUGACUGACAUUGAUGCUCGAAAGUGUGGGUAUCAAACAGGAUUAGAUACCCCAGUAGUC
This 460-nucleotide ribosomal RNA is filed under the name uncultured bacterium. RNAcentral describes it as "partial 16S ribosomal RNA". It matches the Rfam family "Bacterial small subunit ribosomal RNA", at positions 338 to 795 of the family's 1533-position model. The record is from RNAcentral.